RNAcentral lists this unclassified non-coding RNA (18 nucleotides) under Chlamydomonas reinhardtii. Its description in RNAcentral is "small RNA Cre_1343". The record is from RNAcentral. Lineage: Eukaryota; Viridiplantae; Chlorophyta; Chlorophyceae; Chlamydomonadales; Chlamydomonadaceae.
CGGUACGUGCUGAUCCGC